UAAUACAGAGGGCCCGAGCGUUAAUCGGAAUCACUGGGCUUAAAGCGUGCGUAGGCGGAUAUAAAGGCAUCUUGUGAAAUCCCUCGGCUCAACCGGGGAAUUGCUUGGUGAACCAUAUAUCUUGAGGCAAGUAGGGGCGGUCGGAACGAUAGGUGGAGCGGUGAAAUGCGUAGAUAUCUAUCGGAACGCCCAAGGUGAAGACAGGCCGCUGGGCUUGUCCUGACGCUGAGGCACGAAAGCGUGGGUAGCGAACGGGAUUAGAUACCCCGGUAGUCCACGCCGUAAACGAUGCGCACUAGGUCGAGGAGGCUUGACGCCCUCUUGGCCGAAGCAAAAGUGUUUAGUGCGCCGCCUGGGGAGUACGGUCGCAAGGCUA
Molecule: ribosomal RNA, 376 nt
Filed under: uncultured Planctomycetota bacterium
Lineage: Bacteria; Pseudomonadati; Planctomycetota
Description: bacterial SSU rRNA
Rfam family: Bacterial small subunit ribosomal RNA
Source: RNAcentral